AGUCGAGCGGACAGAAGGGAGCUUGCUCCCGGAUGUUAGCGGCGGACGGGUGAGUAACACGUGGGUAACCUGCCUGUAAGACUGGGAUAACUCCGGGAAACCGGAGCUAAUACCGGAUAGUUCCUUGAACCGCAUGGUUCAAGGAUGAAAGACGGUUUCGGCUGUCACUUACAGAUGGACCCGCGGCGCAUUAGCUAGUUGGUGAGGUAACGGCUCACCAAGGCGACGAUGCGUAGCCGACCUGAGAGGGUGAUCGGCCACACUGGGACUGAGACACGGCCCAGACUCCUACGGGAGGCAGCAGUAGGGAAUCUUCCGCAAUGGACGAAAGUCUGACGGAGCAACGCCGCGUGAGUGAUGAAGGUUUUCGGAUCGUAAAGCUCUGUUGUUAGGGAAGAACAAGUGCAAGAGUAACUGCUUGCACCUUGACGGUACCUAACCAGAAAGCCACGGCUAACUACGUGCCAGCAGCCGCGGUAAUACGUAGGUGGCAAGCGUUGUCCGGAAUUAUUGGGCGUAAAGGGCUCGCAGGCGGUUUCUUAAGUCUGAUGUGAAAGCCCCCGGCUCAACCGGGGAGGGUCAUUGGAAACUGGGAAACUUGAGUGCAGAAGAGGAGAGUGGAAUUCCACGUGUAGCGGUGAAAUGCGUAGAGAUGUGGAGGAACACCAGUGGCGAAGGCGACUCUCUGGUCUGUAACUGACGCUGAGGAGCGAAAGCGUGGGGAGCGAACAGGAUUAGAUACCCUGGUAGUC
This 752-nucleotide ribosomal RNA is filed under the name Bacillus sp. CH93. RNAcentral describes it as "bacterial SSU rRNA". It matches the Rfam family "Bacterial small subunit ribosomal RNA", at positions 60 to 795 of the family's 1533-position model. The record is from RNAcentral. Lineage: Bacteria; Bacillati; Bacillota; Bacilli; Caryophanales; Bacillaceae.